AUCGCUUCUCGGCCUUUUGGCUAAGAUCAAGUGUAGAAAUUAAUUUACAAUCUAUCACUGAGUUUACCACAGUCAGAAAAAUAUCAUUUAGCUUAGUUACAGUUUAUCUGUAUAAUGAAAUACUAAGAAGUCGUUUAAAAAAA
Molecule: small nuclear RNA, 143 nt
Filed under: Erinaceus europaeus (western European hedgehog)
Lineage: Eukaryota; Metazoa; Chordata; Mammalia; Eulipotyphla; Erinaceidae
Description: U2 spliceosomal RNA
Rfam family: U2 spliceosomal RNA
About the family: U2 is a small nuclear RNA (snRNA) component of the spliceosome (involved in pre-mRNA splicing). Complementary binding between U2 snRNA (in an area lying towards the 5' end but 3' to hairpin I) and the branchpoint sequence (BPS) of the intron results the bulging out of an unpaired adenosine, on the BPS, which initiates a nucleophilic attack at the intronic 5' splice site, thus starting the first of two transesterification reactions that mediate splicing.
Source: Rfam by way of RNAcentral